CUCAGUUCGGAUUGUAGUCUGCAACUCGACUACAUGAAGCUGGAAUCGCUAGUAAUCGCGGAUCAGAAUGCCGCGGUGAAUACGUUCCCGGGUCUUGUACACACCGCCCGUCACACCAUGGGAGUCGGGAAUGCCCGAAGCCAGUGACCCAAGCGAGAGCAGGGAGCUGUCGAAGGCAGGCCGGAUAACUGGGGUGAAGUCGUAACAAGGUACC
RNAcentral lists this ribosomal RNA (214 nucleotides) under uncultured bacterium. RNAcentral's name for it is "partial 16S ribosomal RNA". It matches the Rfam family "Bacterial small subunit ribosomal RNA", at positions 1287 to 1500 of the family's 1533-position model. The record is from RNAcentral.